Molecule: ribosomal RNA, 497 nt
Filed under: uncultured bacterium
Lineage: Bacteria
Description: partial 16S ribosomal RNA
Rfam family: Bacterial small subunit ribosomal RNA
Source: RNAcentral
GAUGAACGCUGGCGGCGUGCCUAAUACAUGCAAGUCGAGCGAACAGAUGAGGAGCUUGCUCCUCUGACGUUAGCGGCGGACGGGUGAGUAACACGUGGAUAACCUACCUAUAAGACUGGGAUAACUUCGGCAAACCGGAGCUAAUACCGGAUAAUAUAUUGAACCGCAUGGUUCAAUAGUGAAAGACGGUUUUGCUGUCACUUAUAGAUGGAUCCGCGCCGCAUUAGCUAGUUGGUAAGGUAACGGCUUACCAAGGCAACGAUGCGUAGCCGACCUGAGAGGGUGAUCGGCCACACUGGAACUGAGACACGGCCCAGACUCCUACGGGAGGCAGCAGUAGGGAAUCUUCCGCAAUGGGCGAGUGCCUGACGGAGCAACGCCGCGUGAGUGAUGAAGGUCUUCGGAUCGUAAAACUCUGUUAUUAGGGAAGAACAAAAGUGUAAGUAACUGUGCACGUCUUGACGGUACCUAAUCAGAAAGCCACGGCUAACUCCGUG